AAGCUUAGGAUAGACAAACCAAGGGCCUUCAAAGCCCUAAACAAGAGCAAUGACCUCUUAGCCUCUGCCU
Molecule: transfer RNA, 70 nt
Filed under: Draco reticulatus
Lineage: Eukaryota; Metazoa; Chordata; Lepidosauria; Squamata; Agamidae
Description: tRNA-Trp
Source: RNAcentral